Molecule: unclassified non-coding RNA, 73 nt
Filed under: Rhodotorula toruloides
Lineage: Eukaryota; Fungi; Basidiomycota; Microbotryomycetes; Sporidiobolales; Sporidiobolaceae
Source: RNAcentral
CCGUUUCUCGUGAUCGCUACCCUCGCUGGUCGUCCCCCCGGAACAGGAGGAAGACCGAAAUAACGAGGGGAUG